CGUAGGUGGCAAGCGUUGUCCGGAUUUAUUGGGUUUAAAGGGUGCGUAGGUGGCCCUGUAAGUCAGUGGUGAAAUAUCUCAGCUUAACUGAGAGGGUGCCAUUGAUACUGCAGGGCUUGAGUACAGAUGAGGUAGGCGGAAUUGACGGUGUAGCGGUGAAAUGCAUAGAUAUCGUCAAGAACACCGAUAGCGAAGGCAGCUUACCAAGCUGUAACUGACACUGAGGCACGAAAGUGUGGGGAUCAAACAGGAUUAGAUACCCUGGUAGUCCACACUGUAAACGUUGAUGACUCGAUGUUGGCGAUACACAGCCAGCGUCCAAGAGCAAUCGUAAGUCAUCCACCUGGGGAGUACGCCGGCAAACGGUG
RNAcentral lists this ribosomal RNA (368 nucleotides) under uncultured organism. RNAcentral's name for it is "bacterial SSU rRNA". It matches the Rfam family "Bacterial small subunit ribosomal RNA", at positions 526 to 896 of the family's 1533-position model. The record is from RNAcentral.